RNAcentral lists this transfer RNA (78 nucleotides) under Eubacteriales Family XIII. Incertae Sedis bacterium. RNAcentral describes it as "tRNA-Val". It matches the Rfam family "tRNA". Rfam says of the family: Transfer RNA (tRNA) molecules are approximately 80 nucleotides in length. Their secondary structure includes four short double-helical elements and three loops (D, anti-codon, and T loops). The record is from RNAcentral. Lineage: Bacteria; Bacillati; Bacillota; Clostridia; Peptostreptococcales; Anaerovoracaceae.
GGGGGCAUAGUCUCAGCCGGUUAGAGCGCUUGGAUCACAACCAAGAGGUCGCAGGUUCGAAUCCUGCUGUCCCCACCA